GACGAACGCUGGCGGCGUGCUUAACACAUGCAAGUCGAACGGAAAGGCCCUGCUUUUGUGGGGUGCUCGAGUGGCGAACGGGUGAGUAACACGUGAGUAACCUGCCCUUGACUUUGGGAUAACUUCAGGAAACUGGGGCUAAUACCGGAUAGGAGCUCCUGCUGCAUGGUGGGGGUUGGAAAGUUUCGGCGGUUGGGGAUGGACUCGCGGCUUAUCAGCUUGUUGGUGGGGUAGUGGCUUACCAAGGCUUUGACGGGUAGCCGGCCUGAGAGGGUGACCGGCCACAUUGGGACUGAGAUACGGACCAGACUCCUACGGGAGGCAGCAGUGGGGAAUAUUGCACAAUGGGCGGGAGCCUGAUGCAGCAACGCCGCGUGCGGGAUGACGGCCUUCGGGUUGUAAACCGCUUUCGCCUGUGACGAAGCGUGAGUGACGGUAAUGGGUAAAGAAGCACCGGCUAACUACGUG
RNAcentral lists this ribosomal RNA (468 nucleotides) under uncultured bacterium. RNAcentral's name for it is "partial 16S ribosomal RNA". It matches the Rfam family "Bacterial small subunit ribosomal RNA", at positions 28 to 507 of the family's 1533-position model. The record is from RNAcentral.